UACAGAGGUCUCAAGCGUUGUUCGGAUUCAUUGGGCGUAAAGGGCGCGUAGGCUGCGGGGUAAGUCGGGUGUGAAAUCUCAGAGCUCAACUCUGAAACCGCACUCGAUACUGCUUUGCUUGAGGACUGGAGAGGAGAUUGGAAUUCACGGUGUAGCAGUGAAAUGCGUAGAUAUCGUGAGGAAGACCAGUGGCGAAGGCGGAUCUCUGGACAGUUCCUGACGCUGAGGCGCGAAGGCCAGGGGAGCAAACGGG
RNAcentral lists this ribosomal RNA (253 nucleotides) under uncultured bacterium. RNAcentral describes it as "partial 16S ribosomal RNA". It matches the Rfam family "Bacterial small subunit ribosomal RNA", at positions 524 to 776 of the family's 1533-position model. The record is from RNAcentral.